RNAcentral lists this long non-coding RNA (591 nucleotides) under Mytilus galloprovincialis (Mediterranean mussel). Lineage: Eukaryota; Metazoa; Mollusca; Bivalvia; Mytilida; Mytilidae. The record is from RNAcentral.
GCGUGCUGUUGUUUUAAAAAUAUUUUAUUUAUUAUUGUAUUUUUUUGUAUAAGUAGGGAUGUGAUGAAGGGUUUGCGAUAAGAAGAUGUGGUAUAAUUGCCAAUGAGACAACUCUCCACAAGAGACCAAAAUGACACAGAUAUCAACAACUAUAGGUCAACAUACAGCCUUAAACAAUGAGCAAAGCCCAUACUGCAUGGUCAGCUAUAACAGGUCCCGAAAUGACAAUGUAAAACAAUUCAAACGAGAAAACUAACAGCCUUAUUUAUGUACAAAUAAUGAACGAAAAAGAAAUGUGUAACACAUAAACAAACGACGACCACUGAAUUUUAUGGUAUACUAUGACUUGACUUCUUCAAGAUUGGUGCAAAUUAUAUAAGAUUCUUCAAUCUCCUGGAAAACAUCGCCAACCAACAUAUUAACUUCAGUAUGGUGAUGCAGCAUCUUACCAGAGGCUGAUUUAGGGGGCAGGGGACCCGGGCCCCCUCCUUUUUGGGAAAAAAAUGGUUGCUUAUAUAGGGAAUCACUGAAGCAUGACUCGAGCGGCCCCCUCUUAGGUCAGUCAGGGGGCCCCCAAUUUCUGGAUCCGCC